AACAUUUUAAGUUAAAAAAACUAAUAGCCUUCAAAGCUGUAAUUGAAACUAAGAUUCAAAUGUUA
RNAcentral lists this transfer RNA (65 nucleotides) under Leucolepas longa. Its description in RNAcentral is "tRNA-Trp". The record is from RNAcentral. Lineage: Eukaryota; Metazoa; Arthropoda; Thecostraca; Neolepadidae. RNAcentral also lists the same sequence under 1 other name.